This 740-nucleotide long non-coding RNA is filed under the name Felis catus (domestic cat). Its description in RNAcentral is "lncRNA (ENSFCAG00000047880.1)". The record is from RNAcentral. Lineage: Eukaryota; Metazoa; Chordata; Mammalia; Carnivora; Felidae.
UCUUCACUUCAGCCUUGUUUCCAUUUUUCUUUUGUUUAAUCAGAUGAUGAUACCUUAGCUCUCAAGAGCUCAGAGUUCACAUCUGUGCUUGCGGGAAGUAAAGCCCUCCAAAGCCAUCUCUUCCCCUCUUUCGGGGAGCUGGAGAGCGGGCUCCCGGACCACUAGCCAAAUGCACAUCAAGUAUCAGCGUAACUGAUGAGGAGCUGGGGAGGAGCAGUCUUUGAGGAGUUUUUGAGUGAACACGCCAUAUGCCUGUUUCAUCACGAGUGCAAAUCAGCAGGAGGAAAAAGGAUGUCCUUAAAGUGACGUGAAGCCAUCAAAGGAGCUCUCAGGCCCCCCUUCAGAAGGCAAAGGGAAAAAAAAAAAAACAAAACACCUGAGCAAGUUCCUGACAUCAACAUCUGAAUCUUCCUCCUCUGAAUGCUGUAGAGAUGAAACGUUUCUCUGUCUGCUCUGAGCCUCAGUUUCUUUUUUUCUAAAAUGAGGACGAUGACGAUUCCAGCGUAGGCAACUUCGUCGGGUUGCUAUCUGGACCGCAGCAGGUACUGGAUGUGAAAGUACUCGGUAGGCGACGCAGCCCCAUGCACCUGACAGGGGCGGCCCACGUCAGGUCUCAGCCACGUUCUGGGUUGAGGUCUGUGUAGCCUCAACUAGGUCAUUCCUGGCUGGGCGAAGCAGCCCCCUGCAACGGCCCCUGAGUUUCCAGGACUGGAAAACAGAUGAAUUCCACGUGAUCCCUU